RNAcentral lists this ribosomal RNA (375 nucleotides) under Burkholderiaceae bacterium. RNAcentral's name for it is "bacterial SSU rRNA". It matches the Rfam family "Bacterial small subunit ribosomal RNA", at positions 1 to 373 of the family's 1533-position model. Lineage: Bacteria; Pseudomonadati; Pseudomonadota; Betaproteobacteria; Burkholderiales; Burkholderiaceae. The record is from RNAcentral.
AUUAAACUGAAGAGUUUGAUCCUGGCUCAGAUUGAACGCUGGCGGCAUGCCUUACACAUGCAAGUCGAACGGCAGCACGGGUGCUUGCACCUGGUGGCGAGUGGCGAACGGGUGAGUAAUACAUCGGAACGUACCUUAUCGUGGGGGAUAACGCAGCGAAAGUUGCGCUAAUACCGCAUACGCCCUGAGGGGGAAAGCGGGGGACCGUAAGGCCUCGCGCGAUUAGAGCGGCCGAUGUCUGAUUAGCUUGUUGGUGAGGUAAAAGCUCACCAAGGCGAUGAUCAGUAGCUGGUCUGAGAGGACGAUCAGCCACACUGGGACUGAGACACGGCCCAGACUCCUACGGGAGGCAGCAGUGGGGAAUUUUGGACAAUG